UUAUAGAUGAUCAAAUUCGUUACUGGGACCAUAUGAUUUCGAAUGGACCAAUCUAGGGACGGACCACGUUCAACAAUUUCUGUUCAAAUGAUCAAAUUCCGUAGAAAAGAAGGAAUGAAAAACAGAAAAAAGGAAAUUGCGUAUCUUUGUUCAGGUCCGCGAGAAUAGUGUUGUAAGAAAAUAUCAACGCUAUCUUUACUUUGAAUUCAUUAUUUUCAUUAAUAAUUUGUUAAAAUUAAAAUUUGCGGGGUGCAAUGCAAGCAAGCCAAGAGUUGAGCGUGACCUGAGCCGAACAAAAAACUCACAAAACGAAAGAAGAGAAACAUGCUUCUGCUAAGCUCUCCCAGCGGAGCUCUGUCCGCUAGAAAAUGUUCCCUCAAAUUUACAGCUCCAAUUCAACCUCUCUAUUCUAAUUCCGCUACUAGUCGAAGACCCAAACUCAUUCCGACCAGAAAUUCUCCAAAACCCCUUCAUCUCACUUUCGCCAAGGCUGAGGGAGGCCUAGACUCUGCCUCUGCCUCUGCUCCCAAACAAUCUACCCCUCCGCCGCCUCCUUUCAACAAUAACGACACCGUUUUUGUGGGUCAAGAAGAUGUCCCUUUGGAAGGCGUUAUCCAGUUUGAAAAACCCAGCUCCUCUUCUCAUCUUAUCAAAUGGGGUCGAGUGGCUUUGCUAGCUGGUGGCGAUGUAUUAGCUUUGCUUUUAUUUUCUGCAAUUGGAAGAUACAAUCAUGGCCUCCCUAUAUUUGCAAUGGAUACUUUACGUACUGCUGACCCUUUUAUGGCUGGAUGGUUUUUGAGUGCAUACUUCCUUGGUGGCUAUGGUGAGGAUGGUCGCGGAGCCAAUGGUCUAUCCCAAGCAGUUAUUGCUGCUGCCAAAUCUUGGGCGUUGGGAAUUCCUUUGCAUUGGACAUACCUAGGUGACAACAUGUCUAGGACAUAUUCCACCAUAUCCCUUUGUCUUAGUAACAAUGGGAAGCACUUCUGUGUUGCUUAUUGGGUGGAGAGCACUAGUGAUAAGCAUUUUCCCCGAUGAAACAAAUAAGAAGAAGAAUGAUGUAUACAGACGUGGCAGUCCGUUUGAACUAUUUGAGUUGCUUACAUCAUUGAUACGAAGAUGGUAACAUUGAUAACGCAACAUCUGCCAUGAGGUUGCUUCCUGGAGACAUCAAUUUUCACAAAGUUUAUGUAUACCUUGGGCUAAUCUGCUAUAGUUAUAACAGAUUAGUGAAAUCUCUUGUUAGUUUUUGAUAUCCAAACUUCAAGGUUGUAUCAUGAUGAUACACUCCUGUGAAUAUUUUAUUUGUGGUAAUUAGCAUUAAAAGUGUAAUGAUAGUUUCUCUAAAGGAGGGUGUGCAAACUUUUUCUGGAACUGCUACCAUGCAUUUUCAUUUUUAUUUUUGUGAAUCAUUUCCGAAUUUUUAAGAUGAAUGUAGCAGGAUGACUAUCUUUCCAA
This is an RNA transcript of Theobroma cacao (cacao), 1455 nucleotides long. RefSeq lists it as uncharacterized. The record is from RefSeq and is a predicted model, not a curated record. NCBI's taxonomy places the organism in Eukaryota, Viridiplantae, Streptophyta, Magnoliopsida, Malvales, Malvaceae.